RNAcentral lists this ribosomal RNA (459 nucleotides) under Blastocystis sp. subtype 1. RNAcentral describes it as "SSU rRNA". It matches the Rfam family "Eukaryotic small subunit ribosomal RNA", at positions 470 to 942 of the family's 1831-position model. Lineage: Eukaryota; Bigyra; Opalinata; Blastocystidae. The record is from RNAcentral.
ACAAUAAAUCACAAUGCGGGACUAUUCGUCUUGCAAUUGGAUUGAGAACAAUGUACAACUCUUAUCGAUAAGCCAUUGGAGGGCAAGUCUGGUGCCAGCAGCCGCGGUAAUUCCAGCUCCAAUAGCGUAUAUUAACGUUGUUGCAGUUAAAAAGCUCGUAGUUGAAGUGUGGGUGGUGCCUACUUCAUGACUUCGGUUGUGAGGUGGAUCACCACCCCCUUCCAGUAUCCAGUAGUGGGUAUUCAGUUACUUACUACUGUGUGUUGGUCAUUUACUGUGAGAAAAUUAGAGUGUUCAAAGCAGGCGUUUGCUUGAAUAGAUUAGCAUGGAAUAAUAAUUGAAGGCUUUCGUGUUCGAUUUGAUUGGUUUGUUCAUGGAAGCAAGGUUAAAAGGAACAGUUGGGGGUAUUCAUAUUCACUAGUUAGAGGUGAAAUUCUCGGAUUUAUGGAAGAUGAACAA